GACGAACGCUGGCGGCGUGCUUAACACAUGCAAGUCGAACGGAAAGGCCCUGCUUUUGUGGGGUGCUCGAGUGGCGAACGGGUGAGUAACACGUGAGUAACCUGCCCUUGACUUUGGAUAACCUCCGGAAACCUGGGGUAAUACCCGAUAGGAGCCUCCUCCUCCUUGUGGGGGGUGGAAAGUUUCGGCGGUUGGGGAUGGACUCGCGGCUUAUCAGCUUGUUGGUGGGGUAGUGGCUUACCAAGGCUUUGACGGGUAGCCGGCCUGAGAGGGUGACCGGCCACAUUGGGACUGAGAUACGGCCCAGACUCCUACGGGAGGCAGCAGUGGGGAAUAUUGCACAAUGGGCGGAAGCCUGAUGCAGCAACGCCGCGUGCGGGAUGACGGCCUUCGGGCUGUAAACCGCUUUCGCCUGUGACGAAGCGUGAGUGACGGUAAUGGGUAAAGAAGCACCGGCUAACUACGUG
RNAcentral lists this ribosomal RNA (467 nucleotides) under uncultured bacterium. RNAcentral's name for it is "partial 16S ribosomal RNA". It matches the Rfam family "Bacterial small subunit ribosomal RNA", at positions 28 to 507 of the family's 1533-position model. The record is from RNAcentral.